CUGGCGGCACGCCUAAUACAUGCAAGUCGAACGAAGUAGCAAUACUUAGUGGCAGACGGGUGAGUAACAUGUAGGUAUCUUCCCUUUGGUGAGGAAUAACAUGAGGAAACUUAUGCUAAUACCUCAUAAGUCUUUACGGAGAAAGCUUUAUGCGCCGAUGGAUGAGCCUGCACUUGAUUAGUUUGUUGGUAGGGUAAUGGCCUACCAAGACAAUUAUCAAUAGCUGAUUUGAGAGGAUGAUCAGCCACAUUGGGACUGAGACACGGCCCAAACUCCUACGGGAGGCAGCAGUAGGGAAUCUUGCACAAUGGGGGAAACCCUGAUGCAGCGAUGCCGCGUGAGUGAAGAAGGCCUUUGGGUUGUAAAGCUCUUUCGUCGGGGAAGAAAAUGACUGUACCCGAAUAAGAAGGUCCGGCUAA
This 419-nucleotide ribosomal RNA is filed under the name uncultured bacterium. RNAcentral describes it as "bacterial SSU rRNA". It matches the Rfam family "Bacterial small subunit ribosomal RNA", at positions 36 to 500 of the family's 1533-position model. The record is from RNAcentral.